CAGCCGCCACGGUAAUACGUAGGGUGCGAGCGUUAAUCGGAAUUACUGGGCGUAAAGCGUGCGCAGGCGGUUGUGUAAGACAGGUGUGAAAUCCCCGGGCUUAACCUGGGAACUGCGCUUGUGUCUGCACAGCCAGAGUAUGGCAGAGGGGGGUGGGAUUCCACGUGUAGCAGUGAAAUGCGUAGAGAUGUGGAGGAACACCGAUGGCGAAGGCAGCCCCCUGAGCCAAUACUGACGCUCAUGCACGAAAGCGUGGGGAGCAAACAGGAUUAGAUACCCGAGUAGUCCCUGUCUCUUUACA
This 301-nucleotide ribosomal RNA is filed under the name uncultured bacterium. RNAcentral describes it as "partial 16S ribosomal RNA". It matches the Rfam family "Bacterial small subunit ribosomal RNA", at positions 509 to 808 of the family's 1533-position model. The record is from RNAcentral.